AUUGAACGCUGGCGGCAGGCUUAACACAUGCAAGUCGAGCGGGGUGAUGGUGCUUGCACUAUCACUCAGCGGCGGACGGGUGAGUAAUGCUUAGGAAUCUGCCUAUUAGUGGGGGACAACAUCUCGAAAGGGAUGCUAAUACCGCAUACGUCCUACGGGAGAAAGCAGGGGAUCACUUGUGACCUUGCGCUAAUAGAUGAGCCUAAGUCGGAUUAGCUAGUUGGUGGGGUAAAGGCCUACCAAGGCGACGAUCUGUAGCGGGUCUGAGAGGAUGAUCCGCCACACUGGGACUGGGAAACGGCCCAGACUCCUACGGGAGGCAGCAGUGGGGAAUAUUGGACAAUGGGGGGAACCCUGAUCCAGCCAUGCCGCGUGUGUGAAGAAGGCCUUAUGGUUGUAAAGCACUUUAAGCGAGGAGGAGGCUCUUUUGGUUAAUACCCAAGAUGAGUGGACGUUACUCGCAGAAUAAGCACCGGCUAACUCUGUGCCAGCAGCCGCCGUAA
Molecule: ribosomal RNA, 503 nt
Filed under: uncultured bacterium
Lineage: Bacteria
Description: partial 16S ribosomal RNA
Rfam family: Bacterial small subunit ribosomal RNA
Source: RNAcentral